AAUGCUUAUGAUUUCCAUUGAACUUAAUGAUCUUUGAUAUGUGUCUCUGUCAUGCGUAUUCCAUAGUUAGGGUCCUUGAUAAGAAUAAUUUGGUUGUAAUGCGUAUUCCAUUCAAUUCAAUGAAUCUAAGGAAAUCUGAGAAUUAAUUGGUGCACUCUAGUUAAUUUGGGGCAUUGUCAUUCAUGGUUUGUUGAAAGAGUAACUGGAAAUCGUAUGCAUAUGUUUCAUGUGUGGAGAAGAAGCCCUCUAACUAGCCUUUCACCAUCUUAAGUUUCAUCAAACCAUUUUUGUCAAAGUUUGUUUUCAAAGUUUCUGUUUUCAAAGUUAAAUUCGUCCAAAAUCAAUCCCCCUUUACUUGGUUGAGUCAUAGUAGUUAGAAAUCACUUUAGUUUGUGUUUUUAAGUGUCUUAGGUCAAGUUAAAACCAAUUUUCGUCCAAGUUUGUGUCUAGUGUUCAAAACUGCCCAGAUUGUGGUUUUAAGGCAGUUUUGAGUGUUUCUGGGCUGUUUUGAGUUUUUUGGUUUGUUUUGGUGUUUUAAAGUUUAGUUUUGCAUUCUUUGAGUCUAGUUUAGUGUUUUAAACUUGUUUUUACGUAUUUGAGUCAGUUUUCAAGUGAUUUUGCAAUCCCUCCUAAUCCCCGGUUUAUAACGAUCCCUAUUUACAUACUUUGCUACAAUUGAUAAAAAGAGGGUUAAUUUGAGUGUCAACAUAAUUUUCACAUCAAGUGUGCCAUUAACCAGGUAGUCUAUAAUGGAAUCUUGCUAGUUUGGAGUUGUACUAACCUAUGACACCUCGAUUGAUGGCUCCGCCUAUAUGCUUAUUUUGUUUAUAUACUUCACCAGAAUAAAGCCUUUGAGUUGGUGGUCAAUGGCAGAGCCUAGGUGCCAAAUGCGUCCAUAUGAGCGUAUUACCCAUGGAACUUGAGUGAGGGUGUAAGUUUGAAAUGCCUCAAGCAGUCUGGCUAGUAAUUACUAGGGAAUCAAAAUGAAUUGCGAGCUUUUUCACCGCCAAGUCUUUUGUCAUUCGUAGGCCUACUAGUAGGGCAUCGUACUCUGCUUCGUUGUUGGAUGCUUUGAAGCUUAGAGUGAUCGCCUACUUAGGCAUCGAACCAUCUGGGGUGACAAGGACCAUGCCUGCUCCCAAACCUUUGUAGUUGGAUGUGCCGUCGACAUGCAAAUGCCGGAAAUCUCCAUCGGGUGGAGCAGACAAGGCUAGGGCCUGCUCAACUACCUCUGGGAGGUCGUUGGUUUGCUCUGUUACGUUGCCUAGUUUAGGUAUAAAGGCGCAGCAGGGAGCCGUGGAGCCGUCAUUGAUUUACCCUGUUGCGUUAUGAAUGCAUGGUAGGGAGCUGUGGAGUUGGGGCCAUGUUACACGCAGCAGGAGAUGCUUAAUUGCUGGUAUUAGGCCACUUUAGAGUUGAAUUAUGAAGCAAGGGUCGGCUAGGGCCAUGUGUUAUGUAGUAAGAGGUGGUGUUCAACUGUUGGUACCUAUUGCUCCUAUGUAGAAUCUUUUGGGGUGAUGAGGACAAAACUUGCUUCCAAGUGUGUCAUUCUAAUGUUCAUCUGCCCUUGGCGCACCCUUUGGGCCGAGUUGUUGUGUUUCUCAGGAAACUUUGCAUCCGUCAAUAUCUACGCCUUUAUUGUCACGUGUCUAGAUUGGGGGGAAUAGUGCGUCAUGAGAAUGAUUGCGUAUGUUUGAAGGUAAAACAUGAGCUUCCGGAUUGCAACAAUUGUCACCAAAGUUUAGCUUUUGAAUUUGGAAUACAAGUAGUCGGGCCCCCAAUUCUUCUCGUAUAAUGCUAGAGCUUAUUGGUGCUUCAAAUACCAUCAAACAUGCGAAUAGGUCAUCCGCUAUUUCCGAUUUGGAUAGUAGGAAGGUGAUGUCAGGUUCUCUUUCAUGUCUUUACAUCUGGAUCAGCAAUCCUCAUCCCAAAUGCAUGCUUAUCUGUCAGAGCAAAAGAGUCUGCCAGAGUUAAAUCUUCUUUCAUGAUCAAUUUUCCGAACAGCGGGUGGUCUUCUGGAAGUACUUUUUGGAAGGCUGCUUUAGCUAUCGAGUCGUUGCCUCUGAUUAUCUUUACCUUCUCUGCUUUAAACCUCUUCACUUAGUCGUGAAACGACUCCCUUGGGUUCUUUUUUACGUUGAACAAGUGUUCGGAUUUUUUCUUGAUCGAGCGAUAGGACGAAUAUUCUUUGAUAAAAACCAAAGAAAAUUCUUCGAAACUCCGGAUGGAUUGUGGCAAUAGGAUGUAGAACCAAUCUUGCGCCUCGCCUUCUAAAGUAGUGGUGACUAUCUUGCACAUGAGAUCGUCGUUGUUUCGAUAGAGGAUCAUUGCACUUCAGUAGUGCUGUAAGUGUCUCUCCAAGUUUCCAUCCCCUUUGAAAGAUGUAAACUGUGGCAUGCUGAACUUGCAUGGAGGCUCUACCUGCUCGAUCUCAUCCGUCAAGGGUGACCUGUUUAUGUUGGUCAUGUCCCAUCGUAGUGCCUCGUUAACGACCUUGUUGCGUUGGAAAUCGCUCAAUCGCUCAGUCAGAAGCCUUUCUACUUCUUCUUGAAUUUACCUUUGUUGGGGGUAACGGAGCUCUUGGCUGCCCCCCGUCGUGACUAACUGGUCUAGGUGAUGUGAAAAUUAUGUUGACACUCAAAUUAACCCUCUUUUUAUCAAUUGUAGCAAAGUAUGUAAGUAGUGAUCGUUCUAAACCGGGGAUUAGGAGGGAUUGCAAAUCACUUGAAAACAGACUCAAAUACGUAAAAACAAGUUUAAAACACUAAACUAAACUCAAAGAAUGCAAAACUAAACUUUAAAACAC
RNAcentral lists this long non-coding RNA (2806 nucleotides) under Malus domestica (apple). RNAcentral describes it as "long non-coding RNA (MDOM_LNC021271)". The record is from RNAcentral. Lineage: Eukaryota; Viridiplantae; Streptophyta; Magnoliopsida; Rosales; Rosaceae.